UACGGGGGGAGCAAGCGUUGUUCGGAUUUACUGGGCGUAAAGGGCGCGUAGGCGGCCACCGCAAGUCGACUGUGAAAUCUCCGGGCUUAACCCGGAAAGGUCAGCCGAUACUGCGGGGCUAGAGUGCAGAAGGGGCAACUGGAAUUCUCGGUGUAGCGGUGAAAUGCGCAGAUAUCAGGAGGAACACCGGUGGCGAAGGCGGAUCUCUGGGCCAUUACUGACGCUGAGGAGCGAAAGCGUGGGGAGCGAACAGG
Molecule: ribosomal RNA, 254 nt
Filed under: uncultured bacterium
Lineage: Bacteria
Description: partial 16S ribosomal RNA
Rfam family: Bacterial small subunit ribosomal RNA
Source: RNAcentral